UUAAAUUGAAGAGUUUGAUCAUGGCUCAGAUUGAACGCUGGCGGCAGGCCUAACACAUGCAAGUCGAACGGUAACAGGAAGAAGCUUGCUGCUUCGCUGACGAGUGGCGGACGGGUGAGUAAUGUCUGGGAAACUGCCUGAUGGAGGGGGAUAACUACUGGAAACGGUAGCUAAUACCGCAUAACGUCGCAAGACCAAAGAGGGGGACCUUCGGGCCUCUUGCCAUCGGAUGUGCCCAGAUGGGAUUAGCUUGUUGGUGGGGUAACGGCUCACCAAGGCGACGAUCCCUAGCUGGUCUGAGAGGAUGACCAGCCACACUGGAACUGAGACACGGUCCAGACUCCUACGGGAGGCAGCAGUGGGGAAUAUUGCACAAUGGGCGCAAGCCUGAUGCAGCCAUGCCGCGUGUAUGAAGAAGGCCUUCGGGUUGUAAAGUACUUUCAGCGGGGAGGAAGGGAGUAAAGUUAAUACCUUUGCUCAUUGACGUUACCCGCAGAAGAAGCACCGGCUAACUCCGUGCCAGCAGCCGCGGUAAUACGGAGGGUGCAAGCGUUAAUCGGAAUUACUGGGCGUAAAGCGCACGCAGGCGGUUUGUUAAGUCAGAUGUGAAAUCCCCGGGCUCAACCUGGGAACUGCAUCUGAUACUGGCAAGCUUGAGUCUCGUAGAGGGGGGUAGAAUUCCAGGUGUAGCGGUGAAAUGCGUAGAGAUCUGGAGGAAUACCGGUGGCGAAGGCGGCCCCCUGGACGAAGACUGACGCUCAGGUGCGAAAGCGUGGGGAGCAAACAGGAUUAGAUACCCUGGUAGUCCACGCCGUAAACGAUGUCGACUUGGAGGUUGUGCCCUUGAGGCGUGGCUUCCGGAGCUAACGCGUUAAGUCGACCGCCUGGGGAGUACGGCCGCAAGGUUAAAACUCAAAUGAAUUGACGGGGGCCCGCACAAGCGGUGGAGCAUGUGGUUUAAUUCGAUGCAACGCGAAGAACCUUACCUGGUCUUGACAUCCACGGAAGUUUUCAGAGAUGAGAAUGUGCCUUCGGGAACCGUGAGACAGGUGCUGCAUGGCUGUCGUCAGCUCGUGUUGUGAAAUGUUGGGUUAAGUCCCGCAACGAGCGCAACCCUUAUCCUUUGUUGCCAGCGGUCCGGCCGGGAACUCAAAGGAGACUGCCAGUGAUAAACUGGAGGAAGGUGGGGAUGACGUCAAGUCAUCAUGGCCCUUACGACCAGGGCUACACACGUGCUACAAUGGCGCAUACAAAGAGAAGCGACCUCGCGAGAGCAAGCGGACCUCAUAAAGUGCGUCGUAGUCCGGAUUGGAGUCUGCAACUCGACUCCAUGAAGUCGGAAUCGCUAGUAAUCGUGGAUCAGAAUGCCACGGUGAAUACGUUCCCGGGCCUUGUACACACCGCCCGUCACACCAUGGGAGUGGGUUGCAAAAGAAGUAGGUAGCUUAACCUUCGGGAGGGCGCUUACCACUUUGUGAUUCAUGACUGGGGUGAAGUCGUAACAAGGUAACCGUAGGGGAACCUGCGGUUGGAUCACCUCCUUACCUUAAAGAAGC
This 1556-nucleotide ribosomal RNA is filed under the name Escherichia coli. RNAcentral describes it as "bacterial SSU rRNA". It matches the Rfam family "Bacterial small subunit ribosomal RNA". The record is from RNAcentral. Lineage: Bacteria; Pseudomonadati; Pseudomonadota; Gammaproteobacteria; Enterobacterales; Enterobacteriaceae.